AGGAAUAUUGGUCAAUGGGCGAGAGCCUGAACCAGCCAAGUAGCGUGAAGGAUGAAGGUCCUACGGAUUGUAAACUUCUUUUAUACGGGAAUAAAGUUUCCUACGUGUAGGAUUUUGUAUGUACCGUAUGAAUAAGCAUCGGCUAACUCCGUGCCAGCAGCCGCGGUAAUACGGAGGAUGCGAGCGUUAUCCGGAUUUAUUGGGUUUAAAGGGAGCGCAGACGGGAGAUUAAGUCAGUUGUGAAAGUUUGCGGCUCAACCGUAAAAUUGCAGUUGAUACUGGUUUCCUUGAGUGCAGUUGAGGCAGGCGGAAUUCGUGGUGUAGCGGUGAAAUGCUUAGAUAUCACGAAGAACCCCGAUUGCGAAGGCAGCUUGCUAAACUGUAACUGACGUUCAUGCUCGAAAGUGUGGGUAUCAAACAGGAUUAGAUACCCUGGUAGUCCACACGGUAAACGAUGGAUACUCGCUGUUGGCGAUAUACUGUCAGCGGCCAAGCGAAAGCAUUAAGUAUCCCACCUGGGGAGUACGCCGGCAACGGUGAAACUCAAAGGAAUUGACGGGGGCCCGCACAAGCGGAGGAACAUGUGGUUUAAUUCGAUGAUACGCGAGGAACCUUACCCGGGCUUAAAUUGCAGACGAAUUACGAGGAAACUUGUAAGCCGCAAGGCGUCUGUGAAGGUGCUGCAUGGUUGUCGUCAGCUCGUGCCGUGAGGUGUCGGCUUAAGUGCCAUAACGAGCGCAACCCUCGUGGCCAGUUACUAACAGGUUAAGCUGAGGACUCUGGCCAGACUGCCAUCGUAAGAUGUGAGGAAGGUGGGGAUGACGUCAAAUCAGCACGGCCCUUACGUCCGGGGCUACACACGUGUUACAAUGGGAGGUACAGAAGGCCGCUACCCGGCAACGGGAUGCCAAUCCCCAAAACCUCUCUCAGUUCGGACUGGAGUCUGCAACCCGACUCCACGAAGCUGGAUUCGCUAGUAAUCGCGCAUCAGCCACGGCGCGGUGAAUACGUUCCCG
RNAcentral lists this ribosomal RNA (1016 nucleotides) under uncultured bacterium. RNAcentral describes it as "bacterial SSU rRNA". It matches the Rfam family "Bacterial small subunit ribosomal RNA", at positions 357 to 1376 of the family's 1533-position model. The record is from RNAcentral.